This 492-nucleotide ribosomal RNA is filed under the name uncultured bacterium. RNAcentral describes it as "partial 16S ribosomal RNA". It matches the Rfam family "Bacterial small subunit ribosomal RNA", at positions 29 to 507 of the family's 1533-position model. The record is from RNAcentral.
CGUGAACGCUGGCGGUAGGCCUAACACAUGCAAGUCGAACGGCAGCACAGUAAGAGCUUGCUCUUACGGGUGGCGAGUGGCGGACGGGUGAGGAAUACAUCGGAAUCUACUUUUUCGUGGGGGAUAACGUAGGGAAACUUACGCUAAUACCGCAUACGACCUACGGGUGAAAGCAGGGGAUCUUCGGACCUUGCGCGAUUGAAUGAGCCGAUGUCGGAUUAGCUAGUUGGCGGGGUAAAGGCCCACCAAGGCGACGAUCCGUAGCUGGUCUGAGAGGAUGAUCAGCCACACUGGAACUGAGACACGGUCCAGACUCCUACGGGAGGCAGCAGUGGGGAAUAUUGGACAAUGGGCGCAAGCCUGAUCCAGCCAUACCGCGUGGGUGAAGAAGGCCUUCGGGUUGUAAAGCCCUUUUGUUGGGAAAGAAAAGCAGCAGGUUAAUACCCCGCUGUUCUGACGGUACCCAAAGAAUAAGCACCGGCUAACUUCGCG